Molecule: long non-coding RNA, 458 nt
Organism: Micropterus salmoides (largemouth bass)
Lineage: Eukaryota; Metazoa; Chordata; Actinopteri; Centrarchiformes; Centrarchidae
Exons: 3
Source: RefSeq, a predicted model, not a curated record
GUAUCGAUCCUAGAGCAGGAAAUGUCAGUAUCAGAAAUAUCGAUACUUUAGUAUCGAUCCGCAUAUCACUAGUGCAAACUGACAGGUUAGCGACUUUAUCCUGUCAUUUUCUGUCAUUACAGAGACAUGUGUUGCAGUAUGAGAGUCCUACCUGAAGAGAGGCUGUGAAGCAUAAGCGAAGGUAGCGUGGGUGCAUGGGGACAACCAACCCAGGGCCCCGGCUGGUAGGGGGCCCACUACGUGGACUACAACGUUUAGCUCAGUUGAUUGUAGUGGACACGAAUUAAAAAUAUCGUGAGCAACUGGCAGCAGCACCAUACACGCCCAGCUACACGGUUGUCACACAGAUCACCACUGCCUGCAACCCGCACUGCAGCCCCAAACUCUCUUGUAUCCACCUUCCAGGCCGUGUUUGGAAGCCUCCCCCUCAGCCUCGCCCCAGGAUACCAGACCUCCUC